CCUACGGGAGGCAGCAGUGGGGAAUUUUGGACAAUGGGCGAAAGCCUGAUCCAGCAAUGCCGCGUGUGGGAAGAAGGCCUUCGGGUUGUAAACCACUUUUGUACGGAACGAAACGGCUCGCUUUAAUACAGUGGGCUAAUGACGGUACCGUAAGAAUAAGCACCGGCUAACUACGUGCCAGCAGCCGCGGUAAUACGUAGGGUGCGAGCGUUAAUCGGAAUUACUGGGCGUAAAGCGUGCGCAGGCGGUUAUAUAAGACAGUUGUGAAAUCCCCGGGCUCAACCUGGGAAUUGCAUCUGUGACUGUAUAGCUAGAGUACGGUAGAGGGGGAUGGAACUCCGCGUGUAGCAGUGAAAUGCGUAGAUAUGCGGAGGAACACCGAUGGCGAAGGCAAUCCCCUGGACCUGUACUGACGCUCAUGCACGAAAGCGUGGGGAGCAAACAGGAUUAGAUACCCUGGUAGUCCACGCCCUAAACGAUGUCAACUGGUUGUUGGGUGCAUUAGUACUCAGUAACGAAGCUAACGCGUGAAGUUGACCGCCUGGGGAGUACGGCCGCAAGGUUGAAACUCAAAGAUAGUAGCGNGNGAGNGCGACGAGACGACGACGAGGAGGAGG
This 617-nucleotide ribosomal RNA is filed under the name uncultured bacterium. Its description in RNAcentral is "bacterial SSU rRNA". It matches the Rfam family "Bacterial small subunit ribosomal RNA", at positions 338 to 947 of the family's 1533-position model. The record is from RNAcentral.